UACAGAGGGUGCGAGCGUUGUCCGGAAUUACUGGGCGUAAAGGGCGCGUAGGCGGCGCGACAAGUCACUUGUGAAAUCUCCGGGCUUAACUCGGAACGGUCAAGUGAAACUGUCAUGCUAGAGUGCAGAAGGGGCAAUCGGAAUUCUUGGUGUAGCGGUGAAAUGCGUAGAUAUCAAGAGGAACACCUGAGGUGAAGACGGGUUGCUGGGCUGACACUGACGCUGAGGCGCGAAAGCCAGGGGAGCAAACAGG
RNAcentral lists this ribosomal RNA (253 nucleotides) under uncultured bacterium. Its description in RNAcentral is "partial 16S ribosomal RNA". It matches the Rfam family "Bacterial small subunit ribosomal RNA", at positions 524 to 776 of the family's 1533-position model. The record is from RNAcentral.